UGUUUCCCUUUACUUUAUAACACAACAUUAGCGGGAUCUCUGGAGGAAAAGUAAUACUUAAAACCUUAGCUUAGUUGUUUGUUUACGUUCGCUGUACAGCGCCGCGCCAAUCAACUGUGACUGGCUUGCUGCAGAGCGUGAGCGUCUUGGGAAUACCCGACUAAUAUAAUGGAUAUAAUAUGGACACAUAAGACAAUCAAUAUUCGGUAUUUGUUAUGGAUUUAUUGUACAAAUUCCCUGAAAAGAUGCACAUUCCAGGAUGAAUUGAAAAGCUCCCGUAAGGGCUGAGAUGGCAGAGAACAGCUGAUUUGGAACGGAGCAACAGCUGUUCGCUUUCACGGGGAAAAACGAAGGAACUUCAACCUACUUAGGCCUACUAAUUAAUGUUCAAAAGCUAUUAAAUCUUCAACAAAAUAUGCAGAUACUGUCAAAAUCGGUUCCAGG
Molecule: long non-coding RNA, 444 nt
Organism: Gadus macrocephalus (Pacific cod)
Lineage: Eukaryota; Metazoa; Chordata; Actinopteri; Gadiformes; Gadidae
Exons: 2
Source: RefSeq, a predicted model, not a curated record